This 253-nucleotide ribosomal RNA is filed under the name uncultured bacterium. Its description in RNAcentral is "partial 16S ribosomal RNA". It matches the Rfam family "Bacterial small subunit ribosomal RNA", at positions 524 to 776 of the family's 1533-position model. The record is from RNAcentral.
GACGGAGGAUGCAAGCGUUAUUCGGAAUUAUUGGGCGCAAAGGGUCCGUAGGUGGCUAGGCAAGUCUGCUGUUAAAGACCAGGGCUUAACCCUGGGCAGGCGGUGGAAACUGCGUAGCUAGAGACUGGUAGGGGUAGAUGGAAUUCCCAGUGUAGCGGUGAAAUGCGUAGAGAUUGGGAAGAACACCAGUGGCGAAAGCGCUCUACUGGGCCGGUACUGACACUAAGGGACGAAAGCGAGGAGAGCGAAAAGG